ACGAAGGGGGCUAGCGUUGUUCGGAAUUACUGGGCGUAAAGGGCGCGUAGGCGGCCUGUUUAGUCAGAAGUGAAAGCCCCGGGCUCAACCUGGGAACUGCAUUUGAUACUGGCGGGCUUGAGUUCCGGAGAGGAUGGUGGAAUUCCCGGUGUAGCGGUGAAAUGCGUAGAGAUCGGGAGGAACAUCAGUGGCGAAGGCGGCCAUCUGGGACAACACUGACGCUGAAGCACGAAAGCGUGGGGAGCAAACAGGA
RNAcentral lists this ribosomal RNA (253 nucleotides) under uncultured prokaryote. RNAcentral's name for it is "partial 16S ribosomal RNA". It matches the Rfam family "Bacterial small subunit ribosomal RNA", at positions 525 to 777 of the family's 1533-position model. The record is from RNAcentral.